This is a long non-coding RNA of Triticum aestivum (bread wheat), 2935 nucleotides long. RefSeq lists it as uncharacterized. Lineage: Eukaryota; Viridiplantae; Streptophyta; Magnoliopsida; Poales; Poaceae. The transcript has 3 exons. The record is from RefSeq and is a predicted model, not a curated record.
UCAUCCCCUUCUACACCAGCAGCCGCCGCCCCCGCCCCGCACCCCUUGCCCUCCCUCCCUACCUUUUCCCAGCCGAGCGCCCCAUCCACCUAAUACAAAGGGCAACGCCGCGGCUGGGCAGUCCAGGAGGCGAGCGAGGCAGCGAGCAAAGUUUUUCAUGGAUCGAUCGAUACAUGUGUGAUUGUGUUUGCCUCUUCCUCAGCUGGCUGAUCGAGCGUCCUCUACGUGCCCUCCCUCAGCAGCUCGUCGCCGCAGGCAGGUAUCCACACGUGAUGCCUAUGUGCUGCACGCCAUUUCUCUAUGCAGGUGCCGCCAUGGCCGUGUCAUGGAGCUCGCCGCCGCGCCUUCCAACGACGCCCUGCGUCCAGGCAUGGCGAGGGCGCUCGAUGGCAGGAACGGCCGCAUCAAGGAGGCAGCUAGGGACGGUGGCUCCAGGGCUCUACACGCCGUUGCCAGCCACGGGAAGAUGUCGGUGUGUGUUUACCUGCUCGAGAAGCAUGUUCAACGAAAAUGUCAAUGAACCUUUGGCCAUAGCUUCUUCCUCUUCUCACAACAAGUGAGUUCUCUCUGCACUAGCAUUAGUGCUAUCAGUAAUCACCGCUCUAGAAUCCUGAAUAUAUUUCUAUAUGAUAUCCAGCCGGUAAUCGUGCAGGGUUUUGUCUAAAGUUUUUUCUUUUACAAUUUGCAAUGUACAAAGUUUGAAUAUUACAGAAACUGCUGGCAUCUAAUUUUCCAUCAUAUUAUAUUUUACGCAUAAGUUUUGUAUCUCCUUUCUAAUGAGUAAAUGGUGAAUAGAUCCUUUUUGUGAAUUAAACAUAAUUCAGAGAUGAUAAUGACUAUGUAGCUUGCAUUGCAUGCAUGUAUGGUGGUGUAUCUAUUGAGCUGGAGAAUAUUUUAGUAUUCAUUCACUUGCAGCGAUGGCAAUGACCAACACAGUUUUUUCGUUUUCUGUUUCGUUCCUACGUUCUGGUUGGUACCGGUGUAGAUUUUCUUCCUUAAUAAAAUACUCCCUCCGUCCGGAAAUACUUGUCAUCGAAAUGAAUAAAAAGAGAUGUAUCUAGACAUAUUUUAGUUCUAGAUACAUCCCUUUUUGUCCAUUUUGAUGACAAGUAUUUUCGGACGGAGGGAGUACAUAGAAGUAGAUCGGAUUGGUCACAAAUAUCUUACUACUUCAGCAGCAGUUAUGUUUUUCCAACUGAAAUCAUUUUCCUUGCUAGGCACUAGCUAUACCUGAAAACAGGUAAGAGACAUGUUGUUGGCAACUCACCCUUAGUUACAGUUGAGGUACUUGCACAAAAGACGUGUGAAAAUGUUUGAUUUUAACAUUGUUUUACCAUAUGCUUUGAUUUCAUCGGGAAAGAGGAGAAGACGAGAGGAAAAGAGUCCCUAAGGGUAAGUAUGGCCGAGCACAACAGGUUGAAACAAAAAUACUGAGAUGGUGUUGAGAACAGAAAAUAGGAGAAAUACUCCAAUGUUUUACACAACAUGUUGUGACACAUGCACACGACAUAGAUAUUUUAAUCAAUAUCUCAUUUAAUGAACUAAUCAAGAAAGAAAAAAAAUAGAUUGACUCAUGAUGACAAAUAUGUUCGUCUUGAUUUGUACUAUCAAUUUUUAUCGCAACACAGUCAUAAGUCGCAUGUGACGUUCACAUUGUGAAUUGAAAUGAUGUUUUGAUUAGUGUCUUAGUUUGUUGUUUCAUGGUAGCACGGGCAUUCACCUGUGUUAGUUUUUCAUCUUGAAUGAAAGUAACUUUGUGUUAUAAUUGAUUGAGCAUAUGAAUUUAUGAAGUAUUGGUUGUGUAUGCUAAUUCUGACGGAUGGAAUCCUUUGCUUUCUAGCAUCGUGCACUAAUAUCUCUACCCCUAAUGUCUCAGUUGGUAGAAUAGGUUCCACGAAUUUUUUUUGUCCCACCACUUUCGUCUAGUUUUUUCUUUGUUUUUUUGUCCCCCACCCCACCCCACCCCAUGCAAGCACCCCCAAAAAAACCCGCACAAACACCGCUCCUAUCGAUCCCCUGGACGCACGAGAUCGCCGCCGCCGACCUCACAGAGAAGAUGCCACCGAAUCUUGUACACGUACGGGAUCGCCGGAUCCCUGGAACGCCGCUGAUCUAUUCACUACGUCGACGGAAACCAAGCGCUACACUAGAAACCAGGCCGAUCCCAGAGCCAGAAGAAGAAGGAGAAGAGGGUGUCCAUGGCUCAUCAGGCGUCGGCGGGCAAUGAUGACACGCGGCUGCGAAGGUGUUCGUGGAUGGCCUGGCGUGGAAGAUGAGCAAGGAGGGCGUGCGCGACCAGUUCGAGCUCUUCGGCGAGAUCCUCGAGGCCGUCGUCAUCGCCAACAAGGGCACCGACAUAUCCAAGGGCCGCGGAUUCGUGAGUACCCACCCAAACAAUUCUCUCUUCCCCUCAUCGUCAAUUCAUGUUCAGUAGUUAAUUCUCUUGUUUAAUUCAGCCCUGUUAGUUGAUGCUAUGCCUAGAUGGAUGUUUGGCAGGUUACGUUUUGGGAGGCGGAGGCGGCCAUUAGGGCGUGCUUGGGUCCGUACCGGUGAUUGACGACCGAAGGACCAACUGCAACCUUGCCCGCCUCAGCGUCCAAAGGUCCAAGGCCCCACAACCAACUGCCUCUGCAUCCAUAUGCUGCAAUCAAGUUACCAAAUCUGAAGCAUUUUAGCAAGGCAACGGUACAUGUGCUCUUUUGGUGGAAGAUGAAGCUUUUGUUGGUAAUGUGAUGUUUUUUCUGACGAAGACUGACAAUUAAUUCAAAAGACUGACAAUUAACCAUGGGAAAGUAGUGCAUCAUGGAAGAUUUGUAGUAUGCUGUAACGCUCUCGAUGCGGCUAUAUCUCCCACGUGUCGAAGCACGACUUAGAGGCAUAACCGCAUUGAAAGCAAUGUCACAAGUGAGGUAAUCUUCACACAAUCCAUGUAAUA